GACGAACGCUGGCGGCGUGCCUAAUACAUGCAAGUUGAGCGCUGAAGGUUGGUACUUGUACCAACUGGAUGAGCAGCGAACGGGUGAGUAACGCGUGGGGAAUCUGCCUUUGAGCGGGGGACAACAUUUGGAAACGAAUGCUAAUACCGCAUAAAAACUUUAAACACAAGUUUUAAGUUUGAAAGAUGCAAUUGCAUCACUCAAAGAUGAUCCCGCGUUGUAUUAGCUAGUUGGUGAGGUAAAGGCUCACCAAGGCGAUGAUACAUAGCCGACCUGAGAGGGUGAUAGGCCACAGUGGGACUGAGACACGGCCCAAACUCCUACGGGAGGCAGCAGUAGGGAAUCUUCGGCAAUGGACGAAAGUCUGACCGAGCAACGCCGCGUGAGUGAAGAAGGUUGUCGGAUCGUAAAACUCUGUUGGUAGAGAAGAACGUUGGUGAGAGUGGAAAGCUCAUCAAGUGACGGUAACUACCCAGAAAGGGACGGCUAACUACGUG
RNAcentral lists this ribosomal RNA (497 nucleotides) under uncultured bacterium. RNAcentral's name for it is "partial 16S ribosomal RNA". It matches the Rfam family "Bacterial small subunit ribosomal RNA", at positions 28 to 507 of the family's 1533-position model. The record is from RNAcentral.